Molecule: ribosomal RNA, 213 nt
Filed under: uncultured bacterium
Lineage: Bacteria
Description: partial 16S ribosomal RNA
Rfam family: Bacterial small subunit ribosomal RNA
Source: RNAcentral
UACGGAGGAUCCAAGCGUUUAUCCGGAUUUAUUGGGUUUAAAGGGUGCGUAGGCGGCCUGUUAAGUCAGGGGUGAAAGACGGUAGCUUAACUAUCGCAGUGCCCUUGAUACUGAUGGGCUUGAAUGUACUAGAGGUAGGCGGAAUGUGACAAGUAGCGGUGAAAAUGCAUAGAUAUGUCACAGAACACCAAUUGCGAAAGGCAGCUUACUAUG